Vollenhovia emeryi is the source of this 1248-nucleotide long non-coding RNA. RefSeq lists it as uncharacterized. The record is from RefSeq and is a predicted model, not a curated record. NCBI's taxonomy places the organism in Eukaryota, Metazoa, Arthropoda, Insecta, Hymenoptera, Formicidae. The transcript is spliced from 3 exons.
UAUAAAUAAUUAAUAAGGUGUUUAAUAUUGCUAGAGUUCUGAAAUUGCAAAGAAAAGUAUAUGUAGCGAAUACGGUUUUGUUGCAUUUUACAUUACAUAAGUGGACAUUUCAUAAUACAAAAUGGAACACUGCGGUCGAUAAUCUCAGCGCUGAUAAUUGGAAAGACUUUGGUUUUGACUCCAAAGAUUUUGACAUACAUGAAUACUAUAGAAAGGCAGUAAAGGGUUGUAAAUUUUACUUACUGAACGAAAACGUAGACGAUCUAACAGCAGCCAGACGUCAUUAUAAAAGGAUGGAGUGGCUUGAUAAAAUAAUCAAGACGUUAUUCGUCGUGUUUAUGUUAUGGAUACUUUAUAAGUAUAUAGCUACAUAUUAAGUAAUUAAACAACUAAUGUGUUAACCUUCGAACAAAUGUAAUCACCAACGUAUUAACUUGAUUGCAUCUGCCCCAAUAUAUCUCUUUCUUAUUAGGCAUCUUUUGUUGUGUUUCGUUAAUAAGUUCUCAUCAUAGCCGUAAGGCAAGUAACAACAAAGUUAGUAAUAUUAGUUAAGAACGUUGAAUUCACGAAUUCCUUUUUAUUAUGUACUACGUAUAAACGAAAUUAAUUAAAUCGAGUAAACAAGUAAGGUGAUUUGAAAAUGACACAUCUCAUUAACGUAAGAAUAAUCACGAAUUUACUUACUUAUACAUGGUACAUAAUAAAAACAAAUUCGUGAAUUCUACGUUCUUAACUAAUAUUACUGACUUUGCUGUUAAUUGCCUUAUGACUAUGAUGAGAACUUAUCAACGAAACAGAACAAAGACAUCUAAUCAGAAAAAGAUAUAUUGGGGCAUAUGCAAUCAAGUUAGUACGUUGAGUAUUAUGAUACAUUUGCUCGAAGGUUAGCUUAAAAAACGGUUCUUCUUUCACUCCGGUGAGAUCGCUUUUAGUCUUACGUUAACAAAUAGUAAUAGUUGAUUAAUUUCACAACUUUAAUAAUACUUUAAUAGGAAACCAAUGAACGAAUAACUCUGGAAUCAAACACAGUUAUGUUGAUGAUUCCAUAAUUAUAUGUAGUUUAGAUAUUCAGUCUUAUUUUACAAUAUUUAAUGUACAGGAAGUGAUAUAGAUCUUGUCUAAUGAUAAUGAUAUUCUUGAGAGAAUCAGGUUCUCCAUAUUAAUACCUUGAUCUGCAUACAUUGUGAGUCAUUUUGUGUUUCCUUUUUCAUAAACAAUUGAAACAACAAUAUAAACCAACGCUCGGAA